Molecule: ribosomal RNA, 496 nt
Filed under: Thoropa miliaris (rock river frog)
Lineage: Eukaryota; Metazoa; Chordata; Amphibia; Anura; Cycloramphidae
Description: partial small subunit ribosomal RNA
Rfam family: Bacterial small subunit ribosomal RNA
Source: RNAcentral
GUUCAGCCGUAAACUUUAAAUUACAACCCCAAUCGCCAGGGAACUACGAGCAAUGCUUAAAACUCAAAGGACUUGACGGUACCCCAUAUCCCCCUAGAGGAGCCUGUCCUAUAAUCGAUAAUCCCCGUUUAACCUCACCACUUUUAGCUUAUCAGCCUGUAUACCUCCGUCGUCAGCUUACCUCGUGAGCGAAAUCUAGUGAGCUUAAUGUCUCCACAUCAAUACGUCAGGUCAAGGUGCAGUUUAUAAAGUGGGAAGAGAUGGGCUACACUUUCUAAUUUAGAAAAUACGAAAAACUACCUAUGAAAUCUAGUUCGAAGGCGGAUUUAGCAGUAAAAAGAAAACAGAGUAUUCUUUUUAAUUUGGCACUGGGGUGUGUACACACCGCCCGUCACCCUCUUCAAAGCUUACGAAAAGUAAUUUAACUAAUUUUUGCAACUAUAGAAGAGGCAAGUCGUAACAUGGUAAGUAUACCGGAAGGUGUGCUUGGAUUAAA